This 700-nucleotide ribosomal RNA is filed under the name uncultured bacterium. Its description in RNAcentral is "bacterial SSU rRNA". It matches the Rfam family "Bacterial small subunit ribosomal RNA", at positions 65 to 749 of the family's 1533-position model. The record is from RNAcentral.
AAGUUUUUCUGGUGCUUGCACCGGAAAAACUUAGCGGCCAAUGGGUGAGUAACACGUAAAGAACCUGCCUCAUAGACUGGGACAACUAUUGGAAACGAUAGCUAAUACCGGAUAACAGCAUUAACUGCAUGGUUGAUGUUUAAAAGUUGGUUUUGCUAACACUAUGAGAUGGCUUUGCGGUGCAUUAGCUGGUUGGUGGGGUAAAGGCCUACCAAGGCGACGAUGCAUAGCCGACCUGAGAGGGUGAUCGGCCACACUGGGACUGAGACACGGCCCAGACUCCUACGGGAGGCAGCAGUAGGGAAUCUUCGGCAAUGGACGAAAGUCUGACCGAGCAACGCCGCGUGAGUGAAGAAGGUUUUCGGAUCGUAAAACUCUGUUGUUAGAGAAGAACAAGGACGUUAGUAACUGAACGUCCCCUGACGGUAUCUAACCAGAAAGCCACGGCUAACUACGUGCCAGCAGCCGCGGUAAUACGUAGGUGGCAAGCGUUGUCCGGAUUUAUUGGGCGUAAAGCGAGCGCAGGCGGUUUCUUAAGUCUGAUGUGAAAGCCCCCGGCUCAACCGGGGAGGGUCAUUGGAAACUGGGAGACUUGAGUGCAGAAGAGGAGAGUGGAAUUCCAUGUGUAGCGGUGAAAUGCGUAGAUAUAUGGAGGAACACCAGUGGCGAAGGCGGCUCUCUGGUCUGUAACUGACGCUGA